Molecule: ribosomal RNA, 1390 nt
Filed under: Sungouiella intermedia
Lineage: Eukaryota; Fungi; Ascomycota; Pichiomycetes; Serinales; Metschnikowiaceae
Description: Candida intermedia Bacterial small subunit ribosomal RNA
Rfam family: Bacterial small subunit ribosomal RNA
Source: Rfam by way of RNAcentral
AUAUUUGAGAACAUGAUGUUGGUUCAGAUCAAAUGCUAUGUAGAAGCAUAACACAUGCAAGUAUAAAUAUAUAUUUUUUCGAAAAUAUAUAUAUAUGCGUUAAGGUGAGUGAUAUAAGAAUAUACCUCUAAAAGGUAUAUCUUAUUCAGAUGUAGGUAUUAGAGAAAUCUAGCCAUCGAACUGGAGCCGGCGAUUAUCGUCUCAACGGCCACAUUGAUAUAUAUCAACUCUUAUUAAGAGCAGCAGUGGGGAAUCUUUGACAAUGGUCUCACGACUGAUCAAGCUAUCUACGAGAAGGAAUUUUAUAUAAAGUUAACUUUUGUUAACUUUAUAUAUAUAAUUUUUAUAUCACUUCGGUGGUAUAAAAUAUAUAUAAUAAUUAAAACAUAGGUAUAUACUAUAAACUUCUAAGUAAUUAUAAUAAUGAUAUACAUUACGAAAGAGUCCUAACUAAAACAUGUGCCAGCAGCUGCGGUUAGACAUGGAGGGCUAGCAUUGUUCAAAAUGGCUUAAAGUAUCUGUAGAACGUAAAGAAAUCAUAAAAUCUAUAAGAUUUAUAAAUGAUGUAUUUAUAGAAUAAAUUAAGGGUAAUAAGAAAUAAAGUUAUAGAGAUAAAAUUCUUCGAAAACAUUAUGACUACAAAGAGAUUACUUAGAUUUAUUGACGUUGUGAGAUGAAGGCUACGGUAGCGACAUGGAUUCGAUACCCAUUUAGUCGUAGCAGUAAACUAUGAGUACAAUAUUAGAAAAGUGAAAAUCAAUAGUACUCCGCCUGACUAGUACGCUCGCAAGGGUGAAAUACAAGACAUUAGACGGUUGUAGUCCCUAGCAGUGGAACAUGUCAUUUAAUUGGAUGAUCCCCCUCAAACCUUACCAUCUCUUGAAUUAUUAACCGGCGUUACAUCGUUGUCGUCAGUUCAUGCCGUGAGGUAUUAUAUUAAGUUAUUAAAUGAACGUAACCCUUUCUCUUACAUAGAGAUAUUUAUUAUUUUACGAUAAUAGGAAGUAGAGGUUGAAGACUAAUCAUGAUGACCCUAAUGAGAUGGGCUAUAGACGUGUUACAAUAUUAUUUACAAUUAUAGUAUAUCUUUUAUAUUUUUAAAUAUACUUAUUUAAAUGAUAAGAAUAUGACAUAGUUUUCUUUUAUGGAUUGUAAUCUGAAAUUCGGUUACAUAAAGGAGGAAUUGCUAGUAAUCGCGAACUAGAGUGUCGCGGUGAAAUUUUUUGCUACUUCGUACUAACCACUCAUCAACAGCAAGAAAUUUUUAUUUUCCUCUUGAUUUAAUAUCCCCUUGGGGAUAUCUACUUUAUAUGAGGUUAAUUGAUAAAGGACCUGCUGUAAGUUGAAAUACGGUUCGGUUAGGGGAACCUGAUCGGGAUUUAUAUUUUAU